GAGUUUGAUCCUGGCUCAGAACGAACGCUGGCGGCGUGCCUAACACAUGCAAGUCGAGCGCGAAAGUUCCUUCGGGGAUGAGUAGAGCGGCGGACGGGUGAGUAAUACAUAGGUAAUCUACCUUCGAGUUUGGGAUAACCCCGCGAAAGUGGGGCUAAUACCGGAUAAGACCACGUAACUUAUGUUACGGGGUAAAAGGUGGCUUGUUUUUUAAAUGAGCUAUCACUUGAUGAUGAGCCUAUGGCCUAUCAGCUUGUUGGCGGGGUAAGAGCCCACCAAGGCUAUGACGGGUAGCUGGUCUGAGAGGACGACCAGCCACACUGGGACUGAGACACGGCCCAGACUCCUACGGGAGGCAGCAGUGGGGAAUAUUGGGCAAUGGGCGAAAGCCUGACCCAGCGACGCCGCGUGGGUGAUGAAGGCCUUCGGGUUGUAAAGCCCUGUCAUGCGGAAAGAACGACCCUGUGACGCAUACUCACAGGGAGUGACGGUACCGCAGGAGGAAGCACCGGCUAACUCCGUGCCAGCAGCCGCGGUAAUACGGAGGGUGCAAGCGCUGUUCGGAAUUAUUGGGCGUAAAGGGCGCGUAGGCGGUAAUGUAAGUCAGAUGUGAAAUACUCCGGCUCAACCAGAGAACAGCAUCUGAAACUGCAUAACUAGAGUACAGAAGAGGGAAACGGAAUUCCCGGUGUAGAGGUGAAAUUCGUAGAUAUCGGGAGGAACACCAGUGGCGAAGGCGGUUUCCUGGUCUGAUACUGACGCUGAGGCGCGAAAGCGUGGGGAGCAAACAGGAUUAGAUACCCUGGUAGUCCACGCUGUAAACGGUGAACACUAG
This 835-nucleotide ribosomal RNA is filed under the name uncultured bacterium. Its description in RNAcentral is "bacterial SSU rRNA". It matches the Rfam family "Bacterial small subunit ribosomal RNA", at positions 9 to 819 of the family's 1533-position model. The record is from RNAcentral.